GAUGAACGCUAGCGGCAGGCCUAACACAUGCAAGUCGAGGGGCAGCACAGAAACAGCAAUGUUUUGGUGGCGACCGGCGGACGGGUGCGUAACGCGUAUGCAACCUACCUUUAACAGGGGGAUAACGGAGAGAAAUUUCCACUAAUACCCCAUAACAUCGAUCAAGGCAUCUUGAUUGGUUGAUAACUCCGGUGGUUAAAGAUGGGCAUGCGUUGUAUUAGGUAGUUGGUGAGGUAAUGGCUCACCAAGCCUACGAUACAUAGGGGGACUGAGAGGUUAGCCCCCCACACUGGUACUGAGACACGGACCAGACUCCUACGAGAGGCAGCAGUGAGGAAUAUUGGUCAAUGGGGGCAACCCUGAACCGGCCAUGCCGCGUGCAGGAAGACGGCUCUAUGAGUUGUAAACUGCUUUUAAACAGGGAUAAAGCACAGUAUGUAUACUGUGUUGAAGGUACUGUAAGAAUAAGGAUCGGCUAACUCCGUGCCAGCCGCCGCAGUAA
RNAcentral lists this ribosomal RNA (502 nucleotides) under uncultured bacterium. Its description in RNAcentral is "partial 16S ribosomal RNA". It matches the Rfam family "Bacterial small subunit ribosomal RNA", at positions 28 to 523 of the family's 1533-position model. The record is from RNAcentral.